CCUACGGGCGGCAGCAGUGAGGAAUAUUGGUCAAUGGGCGCAAGCCUGAACCAGCCAAGUCGUGUGAGGGAUGACGGUCCUAUGGAUUGUAAACCUCUUUUUUCGGGGAGCAAGGCCCGCCACGUGUGGCGUGAAGGAGAGUACCCGAAGAAAAAGCAUCGGCUAACUCCGUGCCAGCAGCCGCGGUAAUACGGAGGAUGCGAGCUUUAGCCGGAUUUAUGGGGUUUAAAGGGUGCGUCGGCGGCCUGUUGUGUCAGCGGUAAAAGCCCGGGGCUCAACCCCGGCGAGCCGUUGAAACUGGCUGGCUGGAGUUGGAGAGAAGUACGCGGAAUGCGCGGUGUAGCGGUGAAAUGCUUAGAUAUCGCGCAGAACCCCGAUUGCGAAGGCAGCGUACCGGCUCCACACUGACGCUGAGGCACGAAAGCGUGGGUAUCGAACAGGAUUAGAUACCCCAGUAGUC
RNAcentral lists this ribosomal RNA (460 nucleotides) under uncultured bacterium. RNAcentral's name for it is "partial 16S ribosomal RNA". It matches the Rfam family "Bacterial small subunit ribosomal RNA", at positions 338 to 795 of the family's 1533-position model. The record is from RNAcentral.